Molecule: long non-coding RNA, 485 nt
Organism: Liolophura sinensis
Lineage: Eukaryota; Metazoa; Mollusca; Polyplacophora; Chitonida; Chitonidae
Exons: 3
Source: RefSeq, a predicted model, not a curated record
GUUGGUCAAAGGUCAGACCUACACUCUGUGGUUGAUAGCAGAGUCCAGAGGUGUCCAGUCUUCCAGGUCCUCAUCACUCACGGUCACACUGACCCCUUCCCGGCCGGUUCUUCUGUUCAUCACUCCCUCUUCAGGAGAUCAGACUAUUGCUGUGAGAUGGCGGAAUGGAGGAGGCAUUGUAGACAGAUUCUAUGUGAGAAUACAUGACACUUUGGGCUGGUCAAAAGAAGAUGAAGUUCCCUACCAGAAUACCACUGAUGAAUACCGCCAUGUAUUCAAACCUCCAAUGCCUGGGGUAUACAACAUGCUGGUGAAGUCACAGUCUGGACAAUUAAACUCAUCGUACGUGGAAUUUCUAAGCGUAACGUUAAACCCUUCCCCUGUCAACAUCUCAGUCCAGUCUAAAACUUCCCGGAGUAUACAGCUGAACUGGCAGAGGACAGAUAACAACAUAAGAAGUUACAUAAUGGUGGUGUCUUGGGGUG